This 404-nucleotide ribosomal RNA is filed under the name uncultured Victivallis sp. RNAcentral describes it as "partial 16S ribosomal RNA". It matches the Rfam family "Bacterial small subunit ribosomal RNA", at positions 355 to 774 of the family's 1533-position model. The record is from RNAcentral. Lineage: Bacteria; Pseudomonadati; Lentisphaerota; Lentisphaeria; Victivallales; Victivallaceae.
UCGAGAAUCUUGGGCAAUGCGCGAAAGCGUGACCCAGCAAUGCCGCGUGCGGGACGAAGGUCUUCGGAUUGUAAACCGCUGUCACUCGGGACGAAAACAUGACGGUACCGAGGGAGGAAGCCACGGCUAACUACGUGCCAGCAGCCGCGGUAAUACGUAGGUGGCGAGCGUUGUUCGGAUUUAUUGGGCGUAAAGGGUCCGCAGGAGGUCUGUUAAAUUCGAGGUGAAAUCCCGGAGCUCAACUCCGGAACUGCCUUGGAGACUGAUGGACUAGAGUGCUGGAGAGGUAAGCGGAAUUCCAGGUGUAGCGGUGGAAUGCGUAGAUAUCUGGAAGAACACCAAAAGCGAAGGCAGCUUACUGGACAGUAACUGACUCUCAUGGACGAAAGCGUGGGGAGCAAACA